GAUGAGGUGGCAGAGUGGUUAAAGCGAUGGACUGCUAAUCCAUUGUGCUCUGCAUGCAUGGGUUUGAAUCCCAUCCUUUAUCA
This is a non-coding RNA of Oncorhynchus masou masou (cherry salmon), 83 nucleotides long. NCBI's taxonomy places the organism in Eukaryota, Metazoa, Chordata, Actinopteri, Salmoniformes, Salmonidae. The record is from the annotation of a RefSeq genome assembly.